Molecule: ribosomal RNA, 568 nt
Filed under: Gastrotheca sp. H LE-2020
Lineage: Eukaryota; Metazoa; Chordata; Amphibia; Anura; Hemiphractidae
Description: partial large subunit ribosomal RNA
Rfam family: Bacterial large subunit ribosomal RNA
Source: RNAcentral
CGCCUCUUGAAAUACAUAAGAGGUCCAGCCUGCCCAGUGACAAUGUUCAACGGCCGCGGUAUCCUAACCGUGCGAAGGUAGCGUAAUCACUUGUCCUUUAAAUGAGGACUAGUAUGAAUGGCAUCACGAGGAUUAUACUGUCUCCUUUCUCCAAUCAGUGAAACUAAUCUUUCCGUGAAGAAGCGGAAAUACAAUUAUAAGACGAGAAGACCCUAUGGAGCUUUAAACGAAACAACAUUUGCUAUAACACAUAUUAAUCUCAGGAAAUCAACCUUUAUUUUUAGCAUUAUAAUUGUUAGUUUUAGGUUGGGGCGACCGCGGAGUAAAAAAUAACCUCCACAAUGAAUUGGGGACUCCCCUAAACAAAAAACCACAACUUUAUGUAUCAACAAAUUGACAUCAAUUGACCCAAUAUUUUGAUCAACGAAACAAGUUACCCUAGGGAUAACAGCGCAAUCCACUUUGAGAGCCCAUAUCGACAAGUGGGUUUACGACCUCGAUGUUGGAUCAGGGUACCCCAGUGGUGCAGCCGCUACUAAAGGUUCGUUUGUUCAACGAUUAAAACCCU